RNAcentral lists this ribosomal RNA (253 nucleotides) under uncultured bacterium. RNAcentral describes it as "partial 16S ribosomal RNA". It matches the Rfam family "Bacterial small subunit ribosomal RNA", at positions 524 to 776 of the family's 1533-position model. The record is from RNAcentral.
UACGUAGGGGGCGAGCGUUGUUCGGAGUUACUGGGCGUAAAGAGCGCGCAGGCGGUCGUUCAAGUCGCGUGUGAAAGCCCCCGGCUCAACUGGGGAGGGUCACGCGAUACUGAUCGACUCGAAGGCAGGAGAGGGUAGUGGAAUUCCCGGUGUAGUGGUGAAAUGCGUAGAUAUCGGGAGGAACACCAGUGGCGAAGGCGACUACCUGGCCUGUUCUUGACGCUGAGGCGCGAAAGCUAGGGGAGCAAACGGG